This is a small nucleolar RNA of Suncus etruscus (white-toothed pygmy shrew), 135 nucleotides long. RefSeq annotates it as small nucleolar RNA SNORA51. The transcript has a single exon. NCBI's taxonomy places the organism in Eukaryota, Metazoa, Chordata, Mammalia, Eulipotyphla, Soricidae. The record is from RefSeq and is a predicted model, not a curated record.
GGCUUCCCAAUUCUUACCACAGGCUGUGUUCUUUGCAUAGAAAGAGGAGGUACAGUAAAUGCACGCCAUAUACACCCGAUAUACACCUCAGCACAGGCCUUUUGCCUGGUCUGUAUUGUGAAAUGGGGGACAAAA